Molecule: ribosomal RNA, 824 nt
Filed under: Halostagnicola larsenii
Lineage: Archaea; Methanobacteriati; Methanobacteriota; Halobacteria; Halobacteriales; Natrialbaceae
Description: bacterial SSU rRNA
Rfam family: Archaeal small subunit ribosomal RNA
Source: RNAcentral
GAUUAGCAUGCUAGUUGUACGAGUUGAGACUCGUAGCAGAUAGCUCAGUAACACGUGGCCAACUACCCUAUCGAGCACGAUACUCUCGGGAAACUGAGGCUAAUAGUGCAUACGGCUCGGUGUCUGGAGUGACCCGAGUCAGAAACGCUCAGGCGCGAUAGGAUGUGGCUGCGGCCGAUUAGGUAGACGGUGGGGUAACGGCCCACCGUGCCAAUAAUCGGUACGGGUUGUGAGAGCAAGAGCCCGGAGACGGUAUCUGAGACAAGAUACCGGGCCCUACGGGGCGCAGCAGGCGCGAAACCUUUACACUGCACGCGAGUGCGAUAAGGGGACUCCAAGUGCGAGGGCAUAUAGUCCUCGCUUUUUCCGACCGUAGGAUGGUCGGCGAAUAAGUGCUGGGCAAGACCGGUGCCAGCCGCCGCGGUAAUACCGGCAGCACGAGUGAUGACCGCUAUUAUUGGGCCUAAAGCGUCCGUAGCUGGCCACGCAAGUCCAUCGGGAAAUCUCUCCGCUCAACGGAGAGGCGUCCGGUGGAAACUGUGUGGCUUGGGACCGGAAGAUCCAGAGGGUACGUCUGGGGUAGGAGUGAAAUCCCGUAAUCCGAGACGGACCACCGGUGGCGAAAGCGCUCUGGAAAGACGGAUCCGACGGUGAGGGACGAAAGCUCGGGUCACGAACCGGAUUAGAUACCCGGGUAGUCCGAGCUGUAAACGAUGUCUGCUAGGUGUGACACAGGCUACGAGCCUGUGUUGUGCCGUAGGGAAGCCGUGAAGCAGACCGCCUGGGAAGUACGUCUGCAAGGAUGAAACUUAAGGAUUUGGCGG